UACAGAGGUCUCAAGCGUUGUUCGGAUUCAUUGGGCGUAAAGGGUGCGUAGGCGGCGGGGUAAGUCAGGUGUGAAAUCUCGGGGCUCAACCCCGAAACUGCACUUGAUACUGCCUCGCUUGAGUACUGGAGAGGAGACUGGAAUUUACGGUGUAGCAGUGAAAUGCGUAGAUAUCGGGAGGAACACCUGAGGCGAAGGCGGGCUACUGGGCCGAUACUGACGCUGAGGCGCGAAAGCCAGGGGAGCAAACGGG
Molecule: ribosomal RNA, 253 nt
Filed under: uncultured bacterium
Lineage: Bacteria
Description: partial 16S ribosomal RNA
Rfam family: Bacterial small subunit ribosomal RNA
Source: RNAcentral